CAAUAGCGUAUAUUAAAGUUGUUGCAGUUAAAAAGCUCGUAGUUGGAUUUCUGGUGGGAGCGAUCGGUCUGGCGCUUAGCGCGAGUACUUGCAUCGUCUCCGGCCAUCCUUGGGGAGAGUCUGUCUGGCAUUAGGUUGUCGGGCAGAGGAUCCUCAUCGUUUACUGUGAAAAAAUUAGAGUGUUCAAAGCAGGCUUAUGCCGUUGAAUAUAUUAGCAUGGAAUAAUAAGAUAGGACUUUGGUACUAUUUUGUUGGUUUGCGCACCAAAGUAAUGAUUAAUAGGGACAGUUGGGGGUAUUCGUAUUCCGUUGUCAGAGGUGAAAUUCUUGGAUUUACGGAAGACGAACAACUGCGAAAGCAUUUGCCAAGGAUGUUUUCAUUAA
This 383-nucleotide ribosomal RNA is filed under the name uncultured eukaryote. RNAcentral describes it as "partial 18S ribosomal RNA". It matches the Rfam family "Eukaryotic small subunit ribosomal RNA", at positions 592 to 976 of the family's 1831-position model. The record is from RNAcentral.